Molecule: ribosomal RNA, 700 nt
Filed under: uncultured bacterium
Lineage: Bacteria
Description: bacterial SSU rRNA
Rfam family: Bacterial small subunit ribosomal RNA
Source: RNAcentral
AGAGUUUGAUCAUGGCUCAGAACGAACGCUGGCGGCGUGGAUUAGGCAUGCAAGUCGAACGACACGACCCCUUCGGGGGUGACAGUAGAGUGGCAAACGGGUGAGUAACGCGUGGGUAACCAACCCUCGAGCCGGGGAUAACUGGCCGAAAGGCUAGCUAAUACCGGAUGAGGUCUCGGGUACGGGAGUAGCCGAGACGAAAGAUGGCCUCUGAUAUACGCUAUCGCUUGAGGACGGGCCCGCGUCCCAUUAGCUGGUGGGUGAGGUAACGGCUCACCAAGGCAACGAUGGGUAGCCGGUCUGAGAGGAUGGUCGGCCACACUGGGAUUGAGAUACGGCCCAGACUCCCACGGGAGGCAGCAGUCGAGAGGCAUUCGCAAUGGGGGAAACCCUGACGAUGCGACGCCGCGUGCGGGAUGACGGCCUUCGGGUUGUAAACCGCUGUCACACAGGCCGAAAACCGGCUAACGAAUAGGGUGCCGGCUUGACGUAUCUGUGAGAGGAAGCUCCGGCUAAUUCCGUGCCAGCAGCCGCGGUGAUACGGAGGGAGCUAGCGUUGUUCGGAAUUACUGGGCGUAAAGGGCGUGUAGGCGGUUGUACAAGUCAUGUGUGAAACCUGCCGGCUCAACUGGCAGCCUGCACCUGUAACUGUAUGACUUGAGUACGGGAGAGGAGAGUGGAAUUCCUGGUGUAGCGGUGG